This 465-nucleotide ribosomal RNA is filed under the name uncultured bacterium. RNAcentral's name for it is "partial 16S ribosomal RNA". It matches the Rfam family "Bacterial small subunit ribosomal RNA", at positions 338 to 795 of the family's 1533-position model. The record is from RNAcentral.
CCUACGGGAGGCAGCAGUAGGGAAUUUUCGUCAAUGGGCGCAAGCCUGAACGAGCGAUGCCGCGUGAGUGAAGAAGGCCUUCGGGUCGUAAAGCUCUGUUGCGGGGGAAAAAAGGCAGCAUCAGGAAAUGGGUGCUGACUGAUGGUGCCCCGCCAGAAAGUCACGGCUAACUACGUGCCAGCAGCCGCGGUAAUACGUAGGUGGCGAGCGUUAUCCGGAAUGAUUGGGCGUAAAGGGUGCGCAGGCGGUCCUGCAAGUCUGGAGUGAAACGCAUGGGCUCAACACAUGCAUGGCUGUGGAAACUGGAGGACUGGAGAGCAGGAGAGGGCGGUGGAACUCGAUGUGUAGCGGUGAAAUGCGUAGAUAUAUGGAAGAACACCAGUGGCGAAGGCGGCCGCCUGGCCUGUUGCUGACGCUGAGGCACGAAAGCGUGGGGAGCAAAUAGGAUUAGAUACCCUGGUAGUC